Long non-coding RNA from Haliotis rufescens (red abalone), 776 nucleotides. RefSeq lists it as uncharacterized. The record is from RefSeq and is a predicted model, not a curated record. NCBI's taxonomy places the organism in Eukaryota, Metazoa, Mollusca, Gastropoda, Lepetellida, Haliotidae. The transcript has 3 exons.
UGACACAAGAUUGUACAACAGACACCUGUGCUGACUAGACAUGAAAAAGUCUGAAAGAUACAGAGUCUGAAUCAGCUUCAGGAAUGGCUGAAUCGACGGUGAGGAUGUGUACAGGCUUCGGAUACUGCAUCAACCGAAAAAAACUUUCUUACCCACUUCAAAUCUGGGAACCAAAUAUUUCAGGAUUUCUUGCUUACAACGCUGUACAGUGGCAAUAUAUAAUAUAUGUAAUUAUAGACCUGCAGAUAUAUAGGUUAUGAUUAGCCUCUCCCUGUACACCUGUAUACACAGGUACAUCGUUAGCCUCUCCCUGUACACCUGUAUACACAGGUACAUCGUUAGCCUCUCCCUGUAUACAUAGGUACAUCGUUAGCCUCUCCCUGUAAACCUGUAUACACAGGUACAUCGUUAGCCUCUCCCUGUACACCUGUAUACAUAGGUACAUCGUUAGCCUCUCUGUACACCUGUAUACACAGGUACAUCGUUAGCCUCUCCCUGUAUACAUAGGUACAUCGUUAGCCUCUCCCUGUACACCUGUAUACACAGGUACAUCGUUAGCCUCUCCCUGUAUACAUAGGUACAUCGUUAGCCUCUCCCUGUACACCUGUAUACACAGGUACAUCGUUAGCCUCUCCCUGUACACCUGUAUACACAGGUACAUCGUUAGCCUCUCCCUGUACACCUGUAUACACAGGUACAUCGUUAGCCUCUCCCUGUAUACAUAGGUACAUCGUUAGCCUCUCCCUGUAAACCUGUAUACACAGGUACAUCGUUAG